CGCGACCCAUGGUCAGGCGGGAGCACCGCCGAUGUUCUAAGCAUAUUCAAUUAAGCGGAAUGGAAAAGAACUUACCCAGAUUCCCCUUAGUACGGCUGAGCGACCGCGGAGAGGCCCAGCUGAGAUCUGGGCGCCCUCGGCGUCCGAAUUGUAGUCUGGAGAGAAGCGUCCUCAGCGGCGGACCGGGCCCAAGUCCCCUGGAAGGGGGGCGCCGGAGAGGGUGAGAGCCCCGUCGUGCCCGGACCGUCGCACCCACGAGGCGCUGUCUGCGAGUCGGGUUUGUUUGGAAUGCAGCCCCAACGGGCGGUAAUUCCGUCCAAGGUAAAUACGUGCGAUUGAGACCGAUACCGCGAACAAGUACCGCGAGGAAAGAUGAAAAGGACUUUGAAAGAGAGUCAAAGAGUGCUUGAAAUGUCGGGGGAGGGAAGCGAUGAGGGGCCGGCGAUGCGCCCGGUCGGCAUGUGGAACGGCGGGCCAGCCGGUCGCGAUCGGCUCGGGGCGCGGACCGACGCGGAUCGCACAGCGGCGGCCCAACGCCCGGCACUAGAAACGCCCGCGGGAGACGCCGUCGCAGCGAUCGUGGAACAGCAGGCUGCGCGCCGUCACGGCGUGCCCGCACAGCGCGCUCCUGGCGUCGGCCGGCGGGCUCCCCCAUUCGGCCCGUCUUUGAAACACGAACCAGGAGUCUGAAUGUGUGCGAGUCACACGGGCGAGUUUAACCCUUUAAGGCGCAAGGAAGCUGACUGCGCGGUCCCCGAGGGUUGCAACCGCCGACCGACUCGAUCUUCUGAGAAGGGUUCGAGUGAGGAGCAUGCCUGUCGGGACCCGAAAGAAUGUGAACUUAUGCCUGAGCGGGGCGAAGCAGAGGAAACUCUGGUGGGAGGCCCGCACGAUUACUGACGUGCAAAUCGUUCGUCUGACUUGGGUAUAGGCGCGAAAGACUAAAUCGACCCGUCUAGUAGUCUGGUUCCUCCGAGUUUCCCUCAGGAUAGCUGGAGCUCGGGACGAGAGUUCUAUCGGGUAAAGCCAAUGCUUAGAGGCCAUCGGGGGCCGCAACGCCCCUCGACCUAUUUCUCAAACUUUAAAUAGGUAGGACGGCGCGGCUUGCUUCGCUGAGCGGCGCCACGAAUCGAGAGCUCCAAGUGGGCCAGAUUUUGGUAAGCAGAACUGGCGAUGCGGGGUGAACCGGAAGCCGGGGUUACGGAUUGGCCAACUGCGCGCUAACCCAGACCCCACAAAGGGUGUUGGUCGCAUUAAGACAGCAGGACUGGUGGUCAUGGAAGUUCGAAUCGCUAAGGAGUGCUGUAACAACAUCACCUGCCGAAAUUCAACUAGGCCCCGAUAAAUGGGAUGGCGCUUAAGCCCGCGACCUCAUACCCCGGCCGUCGGGGCAAGAGCCAGGCCCCGGAUGAGUAGGAGGCGCGGGCGGGCCGCUCAAACCGGGGCGCGAGCCCGGGCGGAGCGGCCGCCGGUCAGAUUCUUGGUGGUAGUACGCAAUAUUCAAAUGAGAACUUUUUUGAAGGCCGAAAAAGGGAAAAGGUUCCAUGUUGAACGGCACUGCACAUGGGUUUAGUCGAUCCUAAGCAGACGGGGGAACGCCCGUCCGACAGGCGCGUCGCGCGCGAGCUUUAAAGGGCAAUGGGGUAAAUUCCCGAACCGGGAACGCCGGCGGCUGACGCCAGGCAACGUCUAGGGAGUCCGGAGACCGGAUCGUCGGGCCCUCGGGAGAGUUAUUCUUUGUUUAACGGCCCGCCCCACCCUGGAAACGGACUCCAGUCGGAGGGUAGGGUCCACGCGGCCGGAAAGAGCACCGCACGCUCUGCGCGGUGUCCUGGCUUGCCUCGCACCCCCGGCGGCCCCGUGAAAAAGUCCGGCAGGACGAGUGCCUCCCGCGCCCCGGUCGCUACUCAAUAACCGCAUCAGGUCUCCAGCUGUCGAACAGCCUACUUGGGCCAACUGAGGGAACAAUGUACGGCAAGGGAAGUCGGCCAAAACGGACUCCGUAACCCUCGGGAAAAGGAUUGGCUCUGAGCGGCUGGGCCCGGGGGUCCCAGUCCCGAACCCGUCGGCUGUCGGCGGAACUUGCUCGAGCCUGCUCCCGCGGCGAGAGCGCUCGUCGCCGCCGGUGCCGGCCGGGGACGGACUGGGAACGGCCCCUCCGGGGCCUUCCCGGUGCGAUCGAACAGUACGACUCAGAACUGGUACGGGACAAGCGGGAAUCGACCUGUUUAAUUAAAACAAAGCAUGCGUGGUCCCAUGCGGAUGCUCACGCAAAUGUGAUUUCUGACCCAUGUGCUCUUGGAAUGCAAAGUGAAGAAACUUCAAACAAGCGCGGGUAAAGCGGAGUAAUAACUAUGACUCCUUUAAGGUAGCCAAAUGCCUCGCUCAUCUAAUUAGUGACGCGCAUGAAUGAAUUAACGACGAUAUCCACUUCCCUGUCUACUAUCCAGCGAACCAACAGCCAAUGGGACGGCUUGGCGACAUCAGCCGGGGAAAGAAGACUCUGUUGAGCUUACUCUAGUCCGACUUCUCGAUGCAAAUGACUUUGAGCAGGUGUUCAGGAUAAAGUGGGAGCCUGAAACGGGCGACGGUGGAAAUACCAUACUUUAACGUUAUAUUUACUAUAUUAUCCGUGAAUCGGAAGGCGGGGCCUCCGCCCCUCUUUUUGGACCAAAGGCGCCACGGCGCCGAUCCGGAGCAGGAAGACAUUGUCAGGUGAGGGAGUUUGGCUGGGGCGGCACAUCUGUAAAGAUAACGCAAGGUGUCUAAGAUGAGCUCAACCGAGAACAGAAAAUUCUCGUGUGGGAACAAAAGGGUAAAACUCUUUGAUUUCUGAUUUCCAGUCAAUACGACCGUGAAAGCGUCUGGCCUAUCGAUUCCUUUAGACCUUCGGAAUUUGAACUAGAGGUGUCAGAAAGUUACCACCAGGGGAUAAACCUGGGUUGUGGCACCAAGCGUUCAUGCGACGUGCUUUAUCCUUCCAGAGUCGGCUCUUACCUAUAUUGUAGAAGCAGAAAUUCACCAGUGUAGGAAUUGUUCACCCACCAAUAGGGAAACGUGAGCCUGGUUAGACCGUCGUGAGACAGGGUUUAGUUUACCCUACUGAUGACCGCGUCGCGAUGGUAAAUUCAACCUAGUACCGAGAGGAACCAGUUGAUUCGCACAAUUGGAUCAUCGCCAGCUUGGUUGAAAAGCACAGACUGGCGCGAAGCUACGUGCGCUGGAUUAAUGAUGAAACGCUCUAAGUCGAGACACUCCGGGCCAGAAGCGACGCCCGUGCUCGGCGCCGCUUGCGACCCGCAGUAGGGCCACUCGGCCCCCAGAGGCACGAUGCCGUGCCAAGCCCCCGCGGCGGACAGCCGCGCGGGGCCCUUGAAGUACUAUUCCCACCGGGCGUCCGGGACAGAAUCCUUGCAGCGAAUAAAUACGCGACGGGUAUUGUAAGUGGCCAGAGUGGCCUUGCUGCCACGAUCCACUGAGAUCAGCCCUUUGUCGCUCACGAUCGU
Molecule: ribosomal RNA, 3506 nt
Filed under: Hevea brasiliensis (rubber tree)
Lineage: Eukaryota; Viridiplantae; Streptophyta; Magnoliopsida; Malpighiales; Euphorbiaceae
Description: eukaryotic LSU rRNA
Rfam family: Eukaryotic large subunit ribosomal RNA
Source: RNAcentral